AUACGGAGGAGGCAAGCGUUGUUCGGAAUUACAGGGCUUAAAGGGCGUGUAGGCGGAAUGCAAGGUGCUUUGUGAAAGCCCUCGGCUCAACCGAGGAAUUGCUCGGCAAACCGGCAUUCUUGAGGCAGGUAGAGGCGAUCGGAACGUUCGGUGGAGAGGUGAAAUUCGUAGAUAUCGAACGGAACGCCGGUGGCGAAAGCGGAUCGCUGGGCCUGUCCUGACGCUGAGACGCGAAAGCGUAGGUAGCGAACGGGAUUAGAUACCUCAGUAGUCC
Molecule: ribosomal RNA, 274 nt
Filed under: uncultured bacterium
Lineage: Bacteria
Description: partial 16S ribosomal RNA
Rfam family: Bacterial small subunit ribosomal RNA
Source: RNAcentral